Zingiber officinale is the source of this 450-nucleotide long non-coding RNA. RefSeq lists it as uncharacterized. The record is from RefSeq and is a predicted model, not a curated record. Lineage: Eukaryota; Viridiplantae; Streptophyta; Magnoliopsida; Zingiberales; Zingiberaceae. The transcript has 4 exons.
AUCAGCAGAUGACCCUUGGCAGGAAUUUUGUGCUAUGGUCCGUCAGAUUUUUAUAUACACAAAAGAGGAGGUCCAGAAGAUGGAUUCAAGUACCUUGAACCCAAAAAAUGAAGAUUGUCCUGAUAUGAAAGAGAAUGUCAAGGAAACAAAAGGCAGUCAAUCUGCAUCAUCAUCUAAUUCAAAAAACUCAUAGGCUUAUCCUGCAAUGAUCUUGAAGCACAAACAAAGUGAUUGUUUGUGCUUUAUCUAAGUGAUUGUUUGAACAGUUUUAUAGCAUGCAUCUUGACAAUUAAUAUAAUUUUGAAGAUCACUAUCAAGGAAGAAUGUUCAAAGGAAAGUAAAGGCUUAGGAGAAGAUCACGUAAUUAACUACACGGGUAGGUUUCCGUCUAGUGAAAAUACUGAAGAAGUAUGACAAGAGAACAGGAGCACUUAUCAGGCAACCCUUAAU